AAAAGACGCAUCUUUUUUUUGAAAUGCAGUUUCCUUACGCCGCCCCACCUCCCCAAGAACCCGUGAAGACUCUGAGAAGCCUGGUCAAUAUCCGAAAGGACACACUGAGGCUCGUCAAUUUCUGCUGGUUCCCCAGCUAUGCUUCUCUCCACCCCAGGGUCAACUCUGGGGAGGAGAGAUUCAAGGAGGUACCUGUCUGCUGCAGAACAGUCCCCCGACCUGACCCAG
This 228-nucleotide long non-coding RNA is filed under the name Homo sapiens (human). RNAcentral describes it as "HSALNT0245377". The record is from RNAcentral. Lineage: Eukaryota; Metazoa; Chordata; Mammalia; Primates; Hominidae.